GACGAACGCUGGCGGCGUGCUUAACACAUGCAAGUCGAACGGAAAGGCCCUGCUUUUGUGCGGUGCUCGAGUGGCGAACGGGUGAGUAACACGUGAGUAACCUGCCCUUGACUUUGGGAUAACUUCAGGAAACUGGGGCUAAUACCGGAUAGGAGCUCCUGCUGCAUGGUGGGGGUUGGAAAGUUUCGGCGGUUGGGGAUGGACUCGCGGCUUAUCAGCUUGUUGGUGGGGUAGUGGCUUACCAAGGCUUUGACGGGUAGCCGGCCUGAGAGGGUGACCGGCCACAUUGCGACUGCGAUACGGCCCAGACUCCUACGGGAGGCAGCAGUGGGGAAUAUUGCACAAUGGGCGGAAGCCUGAUGCAGCAACGCCGCGUGCGGGAUGACGGCCUUCGGGUUGUAAACCGCUUUCGCCUGUGACGAAGCGUGAGUGACGGUAAUGGGUAAAGAAGCACCGGCUAACUACGUG
Molecule: ribosomal RNA, 468 nt
Filed under: uncultured bacterium
Lineage: Bacteria
Description: partial 16S ribosomal RNA
Rfam family: Bacterial small subunit ribosomal RNA
Source: RNAcentral